RNAcentral lists this ribosomal RNA (480 nucleotides) under uncultured bacterium. RNAcentral describes it as "bacterial SSU rRNA". It matches the Rfam family "Bacterial small subunit ribosomal RNA", at positions 32 to 524 of the family's 1533-position model. The record is from RNAcentral.
AAUCAACGCUGGCGGCGUGCCUCAGACAUGCAAGUCGAACGAUUAAAGCUCUCUUCGGAGAGUGUAUAAAGUGGCGCACGGGUGAGUAACACGUAAGUAAUCUACCUUCGAGUGGGGAAUAACGUCCGGAAACGGACGCUAAUACCGCAUAACGCAGCGGCAUCGCAAGAUGACAGUUGUUAAAGAUUUAUCGCUUGAAGAGGAGCUUGCGGCAGAUUAGCUUGUUGGUAAGGUAACGGCUUACCAAGGCUACGAUCUGUAUCCGGUCUAAGAGGACGGUCGGACACACUGACACUGAAUAACGGGUCAGACUCCUACGGGAGGCAGCAGUCGGGAAUUUUGGGCAAUGGGGAAACCCUGACCCAGCAACGCCGCGUGAAGGAUGAAGUAUUUCGGUAUGUAAACUUCGAAAGAAUAGGAAGAAUUAAUGACGUACUAUUUAUAAGGUCCGGCUAACUACGUGCCAGCAGCCGCCGUAAG